Molecule: non-coding RNA, 368 nt
Organism: Chiloscyllium plagiosum (whitespotted bambooshark)
Lineage: Eukaryota; Metazoa; Chordata; Chondrichthyes; Orectolobiformes; Hemiscylliidae
Source: RefSeq, a predicted model, not a curated record
CUGGAAUCGAACCUGGGACCCAGGUGCUAUCUGAGAUGCCUAAGAAUUUGUUCUUAAUUCGUUCUUUGGGAUUUAUCCUCGGAUUCUCUGGGAAUCCAGAUCCAAAUUGACAGUGGAUAUGGAAGGAAGACCAUUUUGAUGAUUAAUGUGGGCUCGGCGGUUGCUGAGGAGGCAGGGACAACACUUGAUUAAUCUGGACAGCUGGAUGACACCGAACAGAAAGAUGCCGGCUGUCGAGGACCGGGAUAAAACCGAGGAAAAUGACUGGAUUUUCUUGAUGAAUGCCUGUGUAUUUUCUGUCUGUUUAAUGUUUGUGAAAUCAGUGCUAAAAAUGCCAGGUUCAUUUCAGAAGUAAAUCCUUCACUGCA